GCUGGGUGUCGUGGCGCACACCUGUAAUCCCAGCACUUGGGAGGCUGAGGCAGGAGGAUCGCUAGGAGUUCAAGACCAGCCUGAGCUACAUAGUGAGUUCAGGUCAGCCUGAACUACAUAGUGAGAACCUGUCUCAA
This 137-nucleotide non-coding RNA is filed under the name Fukomys damarensis (Damara mole-rat). The record is from Rfam by way of RNAcentral. Lineage: Eukaryota; Metazoa; Chordata; Mammalia; Rodentia; Bathyergidae.